AACGAACGCUGGCGGCGCGCUUAACACAUGCAAGUCGAACGAGAAGGCGUAGCAAUACGCUUGUAAAGUGGCGAACGGGUGAGAAUACAUGGGUAACCUACCCUCGAGUGGGGACUAACCCGACCGAAAGGCGGGCUAAUACCGCGUACGCUUCCGAUCUUGCGGGAUCGGAAGGAAAGCUGUCCCGAGGGGAUGGCGCUCAAGGAUGGGCUCAUGUCCUAUCAGCUUGUUGGAGGGUAACGGCCUACCAAGGCAUCGACGGGUAGCUGGUCUGAGAGGACGAUCAGCCACACUGGCACUGCGACAC
This 307-nucleotide ribosomal RNA is filed under the name uncultured bacterium. Its description in RNAcentral is "bacterial SSU rRNA". It matches the Rfam family "Bacterial small subunit ribosomal RNA", at positions 29 to 327 of the family's 1533-position model. The record is from RNAcentral.